This 306-nucleotide ribosomal RNA is filed under the name uncultured bacterium. RNAcentral's name for it is "bacterial SSU rRNA". It matches the Rfam family "Bacterial small subunit ribosomal RNA", at positions 28 to 334 of the family's 1533-position model. The record is from RNAcentral.
GUUGAACGCUGGCGGCAGGCUUAACACAUGCAAGUCGAGCGGAAGCGAUGAUAGCUUGCUAUCAGGCGUCGAGCGGAGGACGGGUGAGUAAUACUUAGGAAUCUGCCUAGUAGUGGGGGAUAGCUCGGGGAAACUCGAAUUAAUACCGCAUACGACCUAAGGGAGAAAGGGGGCAACUUGUUGCUCUCGCUAUUAGAUGAGCCUAAGUCGGAUUAGCUGGAUGGUGGGGUAAAGGCCUACCAUGGCGACGAUCUGUAGCUGGUCUGAGAGGAUGAUCAGCCACACCGGGACUGAGACACGGCCCGG